This 458-nucleotide ribosomal RNA is filed under the name uncultured bacterium. Its description in RNAcentral is "partial 16S ribosomal RNA". It matches the Rfam family "Bacterial small subunit ribosomal RNA", at positions 338 to 795 of the family's 1533-position model. The record is from RNAcentral.
CCUACGGGUGGCAGCAGUGGGGAAUAUUGCACAAUGGGGGAAACCCUGAUGCAGCGACGCCGCGUGAGUGAAGAAGUAAUUCGUUACGUAAAGCUCUAUCAGCAGGGAAGAAACACUGACCUUACGGUCAGCAGACGGUACCUGAGUAAGAAGCCCCGGCUAACUACGUGCCAGCAGCCGCGGUAAUACGUAGGGGGGAAGCGUUAUCCGGAUUUACUGGGUGUAAAGGGAGCGUAGACGGUGCGCCAAGGCUGGCGUGAAAGGCGGGGGCUCAACCCCCGGACUGCUCUGGAAACUGUACGGCUGGAGUGCAGGAGAGGUAAGUGGAAUUCGUGGUGUAGCGGUGAAAUGCGUAGAUAUUAGGAAGAACACCAGUGGCGAAGGCGGCUUACUGGACUGUAACUGACGUUGAGGCUCGAAAGCGUGGGGAGCAAACAGGAUUAGAUACCCCUGUAGUC